GUAUAUAGUUAUACAUUCUGUGUAUCGACUAAAUAUACCCAUUCUGAGUACCUUGCCUUUUGCUUCCAUGGAGCCUGACACAUGUCACUCUGGGGAUUUACAUCCCGAGGGAGCCUCCGUGGAAGGUAAUCUAUUAACUCUUGAAUCCAAUGUCAUCUGUCUGAUAAUGUUUAUAACAAAUGUUAAAACUUUCAACAACGGAUCUCUUGGUUCUCGCAUCGAUGAAGAACGCAGCGAAAUGCGAUAAGUAGUGUGAAUUGCAGAAUUCAGUGAAUCAUCGAAUCUUUGAACGCACAUUGCGCCUCCUGGUAUUCCGGGAGGCAUGCCUGUUCGAGCGUCAUUAAAUACCACUCAAGCUCUUCUGCUUGGUCAUGGAAGAAGAGAAUGCUUGCAUCCUCUCUUCUGAAAUCGAACGGCGGACUGCCUCAUGUGCCUCGCGUAGUAAGUUCAUCUUUUCGCUUGGAGUGUGAGAUAGUCUCGCCAUCAACCCCCAUACUUCUAAGGUUGACCUCGGAUCACGUAGGGAUACCCGCUGAACUUAAGCAUAUCAAUAAGCGGAGGA
This 562-nucleotide ribosomal RNA is filed under the name uncultured Wilcoxina. RNAcentral's name for it is "eukaryotic LSU rRNA". The stretch from base 187 to 340 matches the Rfam family "5.8S ribosomal RNA". The record is from RNAcentral. Lineage: Eukaryota; Fungi; Ascomycota; Pezizomycetes; Pezizales; Pyronemataceae.